RNAcentral lists this ribosomal RNA (490 nucleotides) under uncultured bacterium. Its description in RNAcentral is "partial 16S ribosomal RNA". It matches the Rfam family "Bacterial small subunit ribosomal RNA", at positions 30 to 507 of the family's 1533-position model. The record is from RNAcentral.
AUUGAACGCUGGCGGCAGGCCUAACACAUGCAAGUCGAACGGUAACAGGAAACAGCUUGCUGUUUGGCUGCCGCGUGGCGGAGGGGUGGGUAAUGUCUGGAAAACUGCUUGAGGGCGGGGGUUACUUCCUGAAACCGGUGGCUAAUCCGGCUUAACGUCGCAAGACCAAAGGGGGGGACUUUCGGGCCUCUUUCCAUCAAAUUUGCCCAGAUGGGUUUAGCUAGUAGGUGGGUUAACGGCUCACCUAGGCGACGAUCCCUAGCUGGUCUGAGAGGUUGACCAGCCACACUGGAACUGAGACACGGUCCAGACUCCUACGGGAGGCAGCAGUGGGGAAUAUUGCACAAUGGGCGCAAGCCUGAUGGAGCCAUGCCGCGUGUAUGAAGAAGGCCUUCGGGUUGUAAAGUACUUUCAGCGGGGAGGAAGGGAGUAAAGUUAAUACCUUUGCGCAUUGACGUUACCCGCAGAAGAAGCACCGGCUAACUCCGUG